UCAACUCUUUCAUAUUUUCAAUUCCAGAGAGUGAUGCUCCUCCUUGACAUCUGCAAAUUUUCUCGGC
Non-coding RNA from Caenorhabditis elegans, 67 nucleotides. NCBI's taxonomy places the organism in Eukaryota, Metazoa, Nematoda, Chromadorea, Rhabditida, Rhabditidae. The record is from Ensembl.